This 253-nucleotide ribosomal RNA is filed under the name uncultured bacterium. RNAcentral's name for it is "partial 16S ribosomal RNA". It matches the Rfam family "Bacterial small subunit ribosomal RNA", at positions 524 to 776 of the family's 1533-position model. The record is from RNAcentral.
UACGGGGGGGGCGAGCGUUGUUCGGAAUUACUGGGCGUAAAGGGCGCGUAGGCGGCCUGCUAAGUCGAACGUGAAAUCCCUGGGCUCAACCCAGGAACUGCGUCCGAUACUGGUUGGCUUGAAUCCGGGAGAGGGAUGUGGAAUUCCGCGUGUAGCAGUGAAAUGCGUAGAUAUGCGGAGGAACACCGAUGGCGAAGGCAAUCCCCUGGGCCUGCACUGACGCUCAUGCACGAAAGCGUGGGGAGCAAACAGG